CACCGCGGUUAUACGAGAGGCCCUAGUUGAUAUCCACGGCGUAAAGAGUGGUUAGAAACAAAUAUAAAACUAAAGCCAAAGACCUUCCAAGCCGUCGCACGCACCCCGAAGGCACGAAACCCAAACACGAAAGUAGCUUUAUUAUUACCGACCCCACGAAAGCUAAGAAA
Molecule: ribosomal RNA, 170 nt
Filed under: Characidium timbuiense
Lineage: Eukaryota; Metazoa; Chordata; Actinopteri; Characiformes; Crenuchidae
Description: partial small subunit ribosomal RNA
Source: RNAcentral